Molecule: transfer RNA, 56 nt
Filed under: Bos taurus (domestic cattle)
Lineage: Eukaryota; Metazoa; Chordata; Mammalia; Artiodactyla; Bovidae
Also listed under: 5 other names
Rfam family: tRNA
About the family: Transfer RNA (tRNA) molecules are approximately 80 nucleotides in length. Their secondary structure includes four short double-helical elements and three loops (D, anti-codon, and T loops).
Source: Rfam by way of RNAcentral
UGGUUCAGUGGUAGAAUUCUCGCCUGCCAUGCGGGAGGCCCAGGUUCAAUUCCUGG